UUUUCUCUCACACAGUUUGAUAAAUCUGGGCCAUAGUCUCUUCCAUCUAUGAAAAUAUUUCUGCUUAUCAGGACAAAAACAGAAAAGUGAACAGUAGAAAGCACACGCCAUGCAGUGAGGCCGGCCAUAGUUGCCAUGCUCCAGCUAAGCCCUGCCCAUUGCAGGGAGGAUGGGAAAAUGACAGUUAGAAACAGUUGUAAAUUUAGCAAUAUGGGAAAUAAGUGGCACAGUGCAAAGUACUUUUAGAUCCCCCUGUACAGAUCUCAUCCUUAUCAUCACUGAUCUCUAUAGGGGAUGGUGGUCACCAAUGUAACAUCAUGUGAUAAGGGGGGAGUUUACAGUUACACUUACUCCUGGAGGGUACAAUUCCCAAUCUACACAAACUGCCCACUGCUCUUAUCACCUAUAUUUGCCCUUAUACAAGUAAAGUCCAUUUUGGGGAUUAUGUGGAUUAUAUUCCCUGCACUAAAAUACACUUAAAAGAAUUGGCUAAAUUCUACCCAGUCUCUUCUGGCCCCUAAUUGAAUAGUCCCAUUCCUCUGGGGAAUGGUCCAUAUCCACAUCUAUCUACCUCUUCUAUGUCACUCCUUUUAUUAUUAGUUGCCUGUGUGUGGUAAAAACACCUAAAAAUAAGAGAAAAGCAAAUAUUACUUUAAUGUCCGUUUAUUUGUCUUUUCUAUUUCUUUCUUUGGUGCUUGUUCUGACAUGCCAGGGCCGCCUUCAGGGGGAUACAGCCAGUACUCCAGUAAGGGGCCCCAGGCCCCUGUUGCAUCCACCUGCAGGCGCCACAGCACAGAAGCAGGGGACCACUCUUUACAAAGCAGUCUCCUGCUUCCAUGGCUGGUCCAGGACACAUUAAACUAUAAGAGCAUCUUACAGAUGCGCCUAUAGUUCAAUGCAGCGCACGGCAUUGGCUCCUCACCUUUUCAAUCACUCUUGUGGGCUGCCCACAAUAUGCAGGCACCGAUAAGAGGCCCGGGUGUCCAUCCUCUGUGCUCCGGCACUUGAAUUUCCAUCAUCAUCAUGCGCCAGAGCACAGACCAGAGGAGUCAACAGAAGAGAAGAGGCCAUGGACCGCGCUGGAGGUUAUGUGGUUACAUGUUGUGAAAGGAAGAAUUUGUCAUGACGGUCUGGGCCAGAAGGCGAAGAAAAAGGAAAGUGAACGACUCUGAUCAGAAAAGAUAUCACCUGAUGUUACUUCAUGUAAUCACUUAAAUGAAAACACACAUCUUUACAAUGAUGAGGAACUGAGCUCAAAGUAUAUUAGAAAGUAAUGGAACAUGUUAACUUAAAGCUGGAAAACACCUUAAGUCACUGUUAUUUGUUAUUUCUUCUCAAAUUUGGUUGGGAAAUCAACCCUGAGUUUUCAUUGCUCGUAGUAAUGGAACAUUUUCACUAGAUGGCAGCAGAAUAGCUAAUUUUACUUGUCCUUUUAUGCUCUUCAACCAUGUUUAGCUUGAGAGACACACAGAA
This is a long non-coding RNA of Hyla sarda, 1473 nucleotides long. RefSeq lists it as uncharacterized. The record is from RefSeq and is a predicted model, not a curated record. The transcript is spliced from 3 exons. NCBI's taxonomy places the organism in Eukaryota, Metazoa, Chordata, Amphibia, Anura, Hylidae.